UAGAUUCUCGUCCGGUUGCCCCGCCAUUAAGGAUUCUUCUAGAAAUGCGUUUCGCAACCGGCUGGAAUUGACAAUGACCGGGUGGCUAGCCACCGCGCCAGUUGAUGCGAUGCGUUUCCAUUGUGCGAUUCCAGCAGCAGCAUAUAGAAAAAGAAAUGUGUAGACACAUAUUCAUGUACUCGAACACUUAUGGAACGGAGUACAAAUGCACGCGUAUCUGCCUUAGUUCACAUGUGGACAUACAUAUUUAUUCGCCUAUGUGGGUAUAAGACGGUCUGUUUCAUUAAUUUCUAGCUGCGCCUGGUGGCUGGUAAAAUUCCACAAGCCCAACUCAAUUGAUCUACAGUGCAAACAAACUGUGUACUUGGAGAAUUGUGCAAAAAACAUAGAAGAGCAUUAACAUGACACGCAUAUACGUGUUAUAUACGUAUGUAAAUAUGUAAGAGUAUGCAUCAUGAAUGAGCAGUCAAUUGAUGGCUGGAGCAAAACAAGAAGGUUGCGAUAUGCAAUAGUGGGAGCCUCUUCGAAGCACCGUGAAGUUGUCACCACCUAUCCGCCAAGUCAGCUAUAGCCAGUUUCAGGCAUACAACUAUCGCGUCUCGAUGUCUUUUUCGCGCGUACGCUGGUUUGUUCUAGAUAUUUCUUCCGCUGUCCUAUAAGUUAUUCACAUGAUAUUAGUAUGGAGGCAAUUUGACGAAUGGUGUUUCAUUAAUUAAAUGCAAGAAGAUCUUUAAAAUUCAAUAUACUGAUUGCUUAUAACUUGUCACAUAAAUGUCAUGACUUAUAAAAUGAUUUGUUUUGAAUAAAACAUAAUAACAUUUUCAGGGUCUUACACCUAAAUAGAGGCAAAUAUAUGUAUGUAUGUAUUUAUA
Molecule: long non-coding RNA, 872 nt
Organism: Zeugodacus cucurbitae (melon fly)
Lineage: Eukaryota; Metazoa; Arthropoda; Insecta; Diptera; Tephritidae
Exons: 2
Source: RefSeq, a predicted model, not a curated record